UAUAUCGCUACGACGCAGGAGGGCGCGA
This 28-nucleotide non-coding RNA is filed under the name Bombyx mori (domestic silkworm). The record is from RNAcentral. Lineage: Eukaryota; Metazoa; Arthropoda; Insecta; Lepidoptera; Bombycidae.